Molecule: small RNA, 3199 nt
Filed under: Drosophila pseudoobscura pseudoobscura
Lineage: Eukaryota; Metazoa; Arthropoda; Insecta; Diptera; Drosophilidae
Description: GA32121
Source: RNAcentral
AAACAAUUUUGUUUGGAAGAAAUCCUACUUUCUCUAUGAAAAAUUGGUGGGUGGUCGGUGGAGUGGAGCGGAGGGGCUCGCUAUUCAAGUCAGCGGCAGUGUAGGUACCUGAACUGCACAGCCUUUCAUCUCUUCCGAUUGUCAGGGACAUUCCUCAACAAUGAUGAUGGACAAAAACAUGGUGGGAGCGCAAAAAACAAAGCCGGAACUGUGCAAAAAGUCGGAGCGAAAGCCAUAGUGUUUAAUUGGCUGAACCCAAUGAAAAAUUCAAUAAAAGUUAACAAAAUUGAUUUCGUUUAAAUAAAACCUUUGUCCGGCGCAAUAGAGCAUGCCUGAAUGAUAAUAAAAUAGUAAUAACGGACACAAAGGGAAUGUAAAAUUCAUUAAAUUGAAAUUUUUCUGGUUGCUCACGGCUCACAUUCUUGCCGGCCCCAAGCCCCCAAACCAAAGAAAACCAGCCACAAAAAGGACACUUGGGCAGUUGGCCCCAACCGAAUAGGGCAAACGCUGCUCGACGCUGCUCCGUUCGCUCGAGAGAGUUGCGAUUCCCGACCGUAACAAACAGGAAAUGAACGGAACGCCACGUUGAUGGAGAGAAGAAAGAGCGGCAAGAAAAAAGUCGUAUAUUUCAAACGGAAAUGUGUUCAAUUUUAAAAAUAGCACAAAUACACAAAAAACAGUCAAUUCAAUGCUAUAGAGGGGCACAGCACACACACACACACACACACACACACAUGCCACAGGAAGCAGAAAUGGAGAAGAUAGCCCCCAUUUGAUAAAUGGACGAUUCGGAAAUACCCUUCACAAAUUUGUUCGCAUCUGAAUCUGAAGGAAACUGAAGGAAACAAAUGAAAAUCGCAGGCCUCAAAAAUAAUGGUCCCGCAAUUUUACGAAAAUCUUGAGAAAAUGCCAGAAAAUAGAUUUAAAAUUAUAUGAAUAAAAACUAGCAACUAAAUCCGAAUUCAUUAGGAGUUCAGAUAAUGAAAGCCAAUUAAAGAAUAUUCAUUUUUAAUUCGGUUAAUCCUUCAUGGGCUAACUCGUGUGAGGGACACUAUUUCUCGGCAGAGUAUGGCCAAGAAAUGGCAGCAGGUAACGUCAGCGGCUAAAACAGGGCGCAGUGGCAGCCAACAAAGCACAAAACAAACUGCAACAAAAUGAAACCAGCAGAAAACAAACCGAGGCCAACACGCCGAGCACGUAGACUGGCCAGCGAACCAAGAGCCAGCGAACCGAGCUUGAAAAGUUAACAAAAACAGGGCAAAAAGAGGAAAGAGACCAGACAGACAGACAGACAGAUAGACGGACAGUGAGGGAGAGCGGGAGAGAGGCAGAGCGCUUCAGUCGAGACAUUUGCGACCAUUGUUGGCCGUGACAGAGACCAGCCAAGUGGCGGUCCAUUGUGUGGCCGGACUGGAUGACUGGACGGCACUGUAAAGAGAAGUAGUGGAGAGGACUGGAACUGGACCAGCUGGACCAGCUGGACGGAACGAGACGGCAGCCGGCAAGCGGACGUUCACAUGAACGCCAUCGUCGAGCAUCCGCUUGGCUCCCAUCUCCAUCUCCAUCUCCUAUCUCCCAUCCAAGUGGGGGCACUUGGAAUGUCAAUUGAAUCAUCUUGGUCCGGAAUGGAAUGCUUUAUACAGCUUUUCCCAAUUGAACUUUUGAAAGACUGUUUCGGCAAACGCAAUUAGAAUGCCACAGGUCAGCACACGUGCCACGCAAUGGUGCCACCGCGCGCGGCGGAACCCUCCAAAAUGAGAACUAUGAACUAUUGCGAGGGUGUCUGCGUCUUGGGUCUGGGAAACUGUCAGGCACAGCGCUGAUUGUCAUUCAUUAUGCAAUCAAUAUUGAUUGCUUCACGGCUCGCGGAAAAUGCUGAAAAGUGACUUGCCAAUUUUCACGACGCAGCGCAUCGCAUCGCAUCGCAUCGAAUGGGUAAAGUCAAGAGGAAAAGUUAUUCAAGUGUCACUGGAGGUGGGAAAGUGUUUGCGGCGAAUACCCUCUACAGUAUGAACCAUUCGAUGGGGGGCUGAGAAUAUCCCUGGGUACUUCUGGGGUCUGUACAUCCGUCAGUGCGUUGCUGCCGGCACUUUGAUGCCGCACUCCAGUGACAUUUUUCAUGCUGUGUCGCGUACGCUGAUUGAUGAAUGAAUAAACGAAUCAACGAAUGAAGGAAUGAACGAGCGAACGAGCGAAUGGCACGGCACGGCAGGGCACGGCACAACUUUUCAACCGUAAAAAUAUGUCAAGUGGACAGGCCGAAGAAGAAGUGAACGCCUCCCACCCGAAGAUCCAGAGCAGAGACACAUACUGGGCUUCAAAAUAAAUGACUUUUCGAUUCGGUUUCCCCAAUCAAAUCACAUGUGCGUCCAGCCCAGAAACACACACAACUUGACUCAAAAAACUAAUUUCCCAACAACUGUGACGCCUCCGCAGCUGGGACCAUGACGAUGCGGACGACCACAGGAGAACAUAAAUCAAUCUGGAACUACAUCAAACUGUGGGGAGCGGAGCAGAACUGAACCGCCCACUACUCCAAAUCGUCUCCAGUUCGCAACCCGGGAUAUCCGCGAGGUCCAUAAGGCCCGGGCCAUCCGGGAGGUCCUACAGGACCAGGUACACCGGGUAUACCGAUAAGUCCGGGAGGUCCUACAGGACCAGGUUCACCGGGUAUACCGAUAAGUCCGAGAGGUCCUACAGGACCAGGUAUACCGGGUAUACCGAUAAGUCCGGGAGGUCCUACAGGACCAGGUACACCGGGUUUACCGAUAAGUCCGGGAGGUCCUACAGGGCCAGGUACACCGGGUAUACCGAUAAAUCCGGGAGGUCCUACAGGACCAGGCAGACCGGGUAUACCGAUAAGUCCGGGAGGUCCUACAGGACCAGGUUCACCGGGUAUACCGAUAAGUCCGGGAGGUCCUACAGGACCAGGCAGACCGGGUAUACCGAUAAGUCCGGUAGGUCCUACAGGAUCAGGUUCACCGGGUAUAUCGAUAAGUCCGGGAGGUCCUACAGGACCUGGUACACCGGGUGUACCCAUAAGUCUAAUAUCGGCGGUCCGUCCGGGAGGUCCAAGCCUAUUUUGCUUCAAUAUUUCAUCUAAUUUCAAUGUAAUCACCUCAAGUUUGCGUGUCGUUUCGGUUUUGAAGAUAUCAAACUCCUUUAAAUUUAAUAAAUAAAUGAAUAAAUUAUCGCCGAA